CUGCAGGAGGAAGCCACACAGUUUGGGCAGGUCCUCAUGCACUUGGACACCACGCAGCAGGAGAUAGCGGGUGCUCUCAAGGCCAACACCAUGCUGCUGGCCGAGGUCCAGCAGACAAUGAAGGAAAACCUGGCUGUUGUAGAGGACAACUUUGUGGACAUAGAUGCCCGUGUCAAGCAGCUGCAGAAGUGCCAGCACCCUGGAGUCACCCUCGCAUCGGGCAUCCCUGCCGCCGCCAGGGCCCUGCGACCCUCUGGGAAUCUCUCCCUCCCCAAGCAGUUUUAUUUCAAGAGAACUGGGACCUCACUGGGCAGCUCCCAAAGGCGUCUGUCAGCACUCCACUGAGGAUGUCCCUCUUCAGGAGGACCAAGAUGAGGAUGGCGAUCUGCAGGAAGGCGAGGAACAGAAGAAAUCUCCUGCGGGACAGGAGAAAGGUUAGGCCGAGCAGGGGGUAAAUUUGUCUCCAGCUCUCGACAACCACCCUCUUU
Aquila chrysaetos chrysaetos is the source of this 488-nucleotide long non-coding RNA. RefSeq lists it as uncharacterized. The record is from RefSeq and is a predicted model, not a curated record. Lineage: Eukaryota; Metazoa; Chordata; Aves; Accipitriformes; Accipitridae. The transcript is spliced from 5 exons.